RNAcentral lists this ribosomal RNA (253 nucleotides) under uncultured bacterium. RNAcentral describes it as "partial 16S ribosomal RNA". It matches the Rfam family "Bacterial small subunit ribosomal RNA", at positions 524 to 776 of the family's 1533-position model. The record is from RNAcentral.
UACGAAGGGGGCUAGCGUUGCUCGGAUUGACUGGGCGUAAAGGGCGCGUAGGCGGUUUGCAUAGUCAGACGUGAAAUUCCUGGGCUUAACCUGGGGGCUGCGUUUGAUACAUGCAGGCUUGAGUUCGGAAGAGGGUCGUGGAAUUCCCAGUGUAGAGGUGAAAUUCGUAGAUAUUCGCAAGAACACCAGUGGCGAAGGCGGCUCACUGGCCCGAUACUGACGCUGAGGCACGAAAGCGUGGGGAGCAAACAGG